RNAcentral lists this ribosomal RNA (500 nucleotides) under uncultured bacterium. Its description in RNAcentral is "partial 16S ribosomal RNA". It matches the Rfam family "Bacterial small subunit ribosomal RNA", at positions 28 to 507 of the family's 1533-position model. The record is from RNAcentral.
GACGAACGCUGGCGGCGUGCUUAACACAUGCAAGUCGAACGGGCCUGUCUUCUUUUUUGGGGGGUGGGUUGAGUGGCGAACGGGUGAGUAUCACGUGAGUAACCUGCCCUUCGGUCCUGGAUAACCGCUUGAAAGGGCGGCUAAUACGGGGUGGUCCGGUUGGUCCGCAUGGGCUGGUCGGGAUAGAUUCACUGUUUUUGGUGUUUCGGCGGGGGAUGGGCUCGCGGCCUAUCAGCUUGUUGGUGGGGUGAUGGCCUACCAAGGCGGUGACGGGUAGCCGGCCGGAGAGGGUGGGCGGCCAGACUGGGACUGGGAUACGGCCCAGACUCCUGCGGGAGGCAGCAGUGGGGGGUAUUGCACAAUGGGCGGAAGCCUGAUGCAGCGACGUCGCGUGAGGGAUGGAGGCCUUCGGGUUGUGAACCUCUGUUCCCGGUGGUGAAGGCCCUGUCCGUGUGGUGGGGUUGACGGUAGCCGGGGAUGAAGCGCCGGCUAACUACGUG